AUGUGGAACUACCAAGCUGCAAGGAAGCUCCAAGUAGACCAUGCAGACAUGAGCCAGUCAAAUGAGCCAUUGCUACAGACGCCCACUGCCAGUGUUCCCAUGGACAGCAAUGUAGUGGCAAUUAUCAUAGCCACCACAGUUUCUUCCUCCGUGUUCAUCGUGGCCAUUUUGGUGCUGCUGCUGCUUUUGUACCACCGAGACCCUCUGUGCUGCCAGUUUCUCUGCUCUUGCCGUUUCUUCCAGAGCCCUAGUCAAUAUGAUUGCCCUCCCCCUUACUUCAGCAGCAACCAGCGACUGGUGGGACCUCCAUCUGGAACACCGCGUCUGGAGAAUGCUGCUGAAAAUCCUGGUGUGCAGAGAGAUGAACUAUUCUGUGUUGGACCUCCUAGUAGCUAUCAGUUGCCUCCGUGGGAACAGCCUCGUCUGCCAAGCUACGAAAGUGUGCGGAAGAAGGAUCGUCAGCGGGAGAUCCAUCAGAUGAUUGCUGAACGGUUUGGUCUGUGGGCGGACGUUUCUCAGGAGUUACCACCACCCUAUGAGCAGGCCCUGAGGUACCCUGCAACCUUAUCAGGAAUCGGAACGGGUUCAGAGUUGUCAGCUGGACAGAGCUUACCAGACAUGCUCCAAGCUUCGCCCAUGCAUCAGCCUCAAAGAAACACAUCAGUAUAGACUAGGACUUGGUGCCACAGCCUUUUUCUGUGGUAAUGACAGAGUUCGGGACAUGUGCUAUUCUUCUACAGCACUAUCUGUCACCUUUCCUGACACAAUGGGAAUCAAAUGUCACUUUCUAAAGCCAUCAAAAAGCCAACACUUUUUUAAAAAAACAAUACAAAACUUAAUGUUACAGCACAGAGAGUCAAUGCUGGAAGAUCUUCUAGUCCUGAGGACCGCUGGACAAUAGACUCAAUUACUUGGGGACAUGUUAUUUUUUCCAUCUGUCUUUCUCUUUUUGAAGUAUCAGAAGCUGAAAGAACUUUCUUCAUAUUUAGAGAAUCCAGCCACACAGCACUGAAGGCUGGAGUUGGUUACCUCAGGGGUAUCUUUUUGUCUUAGGAAUUUGUAAGCCAAAUAUAAAUGUACAGGAAUUUCAGCCUUCUGCCCUGAAUAUCAAACAUCUGACAGAACUGGUGAAAUGCUCCCUUGGCAUAUUAGAGUGAGACAGUGUGGCUUCCUACCUGAAGGACACUUCUGGAGAAAAUUUGGGAAGGAGAGGGCUGCUAAUUCUGUAAAGUACUGAAGGUAUAAGAUUUUGUUCUUUUGGAUUUGUCUUAUCUACCAUCGCUGAUCAAGGAUUGGGCUAUCAGUUGACAGAAUGAAUGUAUUUUGUCCUCUGGCAGUUUCCAUCAACUUAUUCCUAAGUACUUCUUGAACUCAUGCCAGUGGGAUUUUAUCUUUUCCUUUCUUUCACUCAAAUGCUGCAGGGCAGUUUUGCAAAUGUAAGCAAGAUAAAAGACUCAGCAGAGGGCAGGAUCUGGCGCUUCCUCUGCAUACUCCCUUUCCUCACAAGCCAUAUAACUGUGAAACAGCUACAUGCAGCGAUGAAGAAUUUCCCCCAGGAAGGGAGGAAGAUGCUACUGAUUAUCUUUGUUCACUCCCAUCACAGCUUAUUCUCCUUGAUUGAAUUUCAUUUGGAGCCCAGACAAUCUUGAUAAGCUUAACUCCAAUUUUU
Molecule: long non-coding RNA, 1669 nt
Organism: Salvator merianae (Argentine black and white tegu)
Lineage: Eukaryota; Metazoa; Chordata; Lepidosauria; Squamata; Teiidae
Source: Ensembl